GCAAUUAUUGCAGGAGAGAAGCGUUUAGACGCUCGCCGAAGGAGCAAAGCCUCAGGAAACUCUCAGGCAAAAGGACUGCAAUAAUUGA
RNAcentral lists this non-coding RNA (88 nucleotides) under Acinetobacter sp. RNAcentral describes it as "Glycine sequence". It matches the Rfam family "Glycine riboswitch aptamer". Rfam says of the family: This family represents the bacterial glycine riboswitch. Glycine riboswitches usually consist of two metabolite-binding aptamers domains with similar structures in tandem. The aptamers cooperatively bind glycine to regulate the expression of downstream genes. The record is from RNAcentral. Lineage: Bacteria; Pseudomonadati; Pseudomonadota; Gammaproteobacteria; Moraxellales; Moraxellaceae.